UGGGGAAUAUUGGGCAAUGGGGCGAAAGCCUGACCCAGCAACGCCGCGUGAGGGAAGAAGGUUUUCGGAUUGUAAACCUCUAUCGUGGAUGACGAAGGAAGUGACGGUAGUCCACAAGGAAGCCCCGGCUAACUACGUGCCAGCAGCCGCGGUAAUACGUAGGGGGCAAGCGUUGUCCGGAAUGACUGGGCGUAAAGGGCGUGUAGGCGGCCUGAUAAGUCUGAAGUGAAAGUCCUGCUUUCAAGGUGGGAAUUGCUUUGGAUACUGUCGGGCUUGAGUGCGGAAGAGGUAAGUGGAAUUCCCAGUGUAGCGGUGAAAUGCGUAGAG
This 327-nucleotide ribosomal RNA is filed under the name uncultured bacterium. RNAcentral describes it as "bacterial SSU rRNA". It matches the Rfam family "Bacterial small subunit ribosomal RNA", at positions 355 to 695 of the family's 1533-position model. The record is from RNAcentral.